AUUGCUUCUCGACCUUUUGGCUAAGAUCAAGUGUAGUAGCUGCUCUUAUCCGUUUAAUAUUUGAUAUGUCCUCUAUCCAAGGGCAAUAUACUAAAUGGAUUUUUGGAGCAGGGAGAUAGAAUAGGAGCUUGCUCCAUCCACUCCGCACAUUGAUUGGUAUUGUAGUACCUCCAGGAAUGAUGCACCCCUC
Molecule: small nuclear RNA, 190 nt
Organism: Rhinopithecus bieti (black snub-nosed monkey)
Lineage: Eukaryota; Metazoa; Chordata; Mammalia; Primates; Cercopithecidae
Gene: U2
Rfam family: U2 spliceosomal RNA
About the family: U2 is a small nuclear RNA (snRNA) component of the spliceosome (involved in pre-mRNA splicing). Complementary binding between U2 snRNA (in an area lying towards the 5' end but 3' to hairpin I) and the branchpoint sequence (BPS) of the intron results the bulging out of an unpaired adenosine, on the BPS, which initiates a nucleophilic attack at the intronic 5' splice site, thus starting the first of two transesterification reactions that mediate splicing.
Source: Ensembl